CUCGUAGGCGGUUCGUCGCGUCCGGUGUGAAAGUCCAUCGCUUAACGGUGGAUCUGCGCCGGGUACGGGCGGGCUGGAGUGCGGUAGGGGAGACUGGAAUUCCCGGUGUAACGGUGGAAUGUGUAAAUAUCGGGAAGAACACCGAUGGCGAAGGCAGGUCUCUGGGCCGUCACUGACGCUGAGGAGCGAAAGCGUGGGGAGCGAACA
This 207-nucleotide ribosomal RNA is filed under the name uncultured bacterium. RNAcentral describes it as "partial 16S ribosomal RNA". It matches the Rfam family "Bacterial small subunit ribosomal RNA", at positions 568 to 774 of the family's 1533-position model. The record is from RNAcentral.